GCCCCGUUGGCGCAAUUGGUUAGCGUAUCGGCCUUUUAAGCCGGUGGUUGUGAGUUCGAAUCUCACACGGGGCG
Molecule: non-coding RNA, 74 nt
Organism: Clonostachys byssicola
Lineage: Eukaryota; Fungi; Ascomycota; Sordariomycetes; Hypocreales; Bionectriaceae
Source: the annotation of a GenBank genome assembly